Molecule: long non-coding RNA, 381 nt
Filed under: Homo sapiens (human)
Lineage: Eukaryota; Metazoa; Chordata; Mammalia; Primates; Hominidae
Description: non-protein coding lnc-MEIS2-1:5
Source: RNAcentral
AGACCCAGGUUUGUUUCGUUUAAAGGAGGAUGCAAUUCUGUCCGUGAAUGCAUUUUCUCUAAAUGUUGGCUUCAUCCCUCCUUUGGUAGAGCAUGUCAACGGAUUUGCUAAUGGCAAAGAAGGGAAAACAGAAGCAAAGAAAACUGUUUCAAAAGUCUUGGAAUUGCUACUGUUAAAAGGCUGCGGUUCAUUUCUGAUUUCCUCAUCUUUUGCUACAAAGGAAAAAGAAAUCCAAUGAUGUGUCUACCUUUGGUGAGAAGAAAACACGAGCAACAGCAGUGUAGGCAGAAACUGCAGGCUGUUCAGAAUCCAAUUCUCUGGAUAUUGGCAUGCUACAUUCAAUGUCCAGCUACAUUAAGUGUCCAUCUAUCAAAAUACUAG